CGGAAUUACUGGGCGUAAAGCGCAUGCAGGCGGCCUGUUAAGUCAGAUGUGAAAGCCCGGGGCUUAACCUCGGAAUUGCAUUUGAAACUGGCAGGCUAGAGUCUUGUAGAGGGGGUAGAAUUUCAGGUGUAGCGGUGAAAUGCGUAGAGAUCUGAAGGAAUACCAGUGGCGAAGGCGGCCCCCUGGACAAAGACUGACGCUCAGAUGCGAAAGCGUGGGGAGCAAACAGGAUUAGAUACCCUGGUAG
RNAcentral lists this ribosomal RNA (247 nucleotides) under uncultured bacterium. RNAcentral's name for it is "partial 16S ribosomal RNA". It matches the Rfam family "Bacterial small subunit ribosomal RNA", at positions 546 to 793 of the family's 1533-position model. The record is from RNAcentral.